CCGAGUUUACAACUCCCAAACCCCUGUGAACAUACCACUUGUUGCCUCGGCGGAUCAGCCCGCUCCCGGUAAAACGGGACGGCCCGCCAGAGGACCCCUAAACUCUGUUUCUAUACUGUAACUUCUGAGUAAAACCAUAAAUAAAUUA
Molecule: unclassified non-coding RNA, 148 nt
Filed under: soil metagenome
Description: partial internal transcribed spacer 1
Source: RNAcentral